AUUGAACGCUGGCGGCAGGCCUAACACAUGCAAGUCGAGCGAGCGGCGGACGGGUGAGUACUGUCUGGGAAACUGCCUGAUGGCGGGGGAUAACUACUGGAAACGGUAGCUAAUACCGCCUACCAUCAGCUGUUCCCAGAUGGGAUUGGCUAGUAGGUGGGGUAACGCCUCACCUAGGCGACGAUCCCUCGCUGGUCUGAGAGGAUGACCAGCAAAACGGGAACGGAGCCACGGUCCAGACUCCUACGGGAGGAAGCAGUGGGAAAUAUUGCAAAAUGGGCGAAAGCCGGAUGAAGCCAGGCGGCGGGGGGGAAGAAGGCCUUCGGGUUGUAAAGCACUUUAAGCGGGGAGGCGUUACCCGAAGAAGAAGCACCGGCUAACUCCGUGCCAGCAGCCGCGGUAAUAC
RNAcentral lists this ribosomal RNA (406 nucleotides) under uncultured bacterium. RNAcentral's name for it is "partial 16S ribosomal RNA". It matches the Rfam family "Bacterial small subunit ribosomal RNA", at positions 29 to 526 of the family's 1533-position model. The record is from RNAcentral.